UUCCAUGCAAGUCGUAUACGCAAAUAUCUGCACCAUUUGGUGUAGUUAUCCAGCACCUUGAAAAAAACUUCAUUGAUUGCUUUCUCAUCAAUUUUUGGAUCAGCUUGAACAGGUAUGCCAAGUCGAGACUGUGCAUUUGCUAUGGUAAGAAUAACAUUUUCACGCUGAUUCCUUAUGUUGUCUUUCUGAAAGCCAAAUACAUAUUCCAGAAGAUCAAACAUGUCUGCAUCCCGUUCUCCAGAAAUCAUAAAAUCAGCAGGAAGUCUGGGGAAAUGCUCAGUGUACUUAAUGGCAGAUAUGGCACCUCUAACUUCAGGGAAGACUCCAAUAACAUUGGUUAAUGAUGGUCCUUCUAAAGGGACAAUAUUAUAUGGUAUGAGUUCCCCAACUUUUUUAAUUCUUCGCAACUCCUCUAUAAUAAGUCUUCCAACACCAUCAGGAUCUGCAUCUGUGCUAAGUGCCUCCAUUACCUCGACUAAGGCCCUCAAAGUAGCCAACACCUUUUUAAUCUUCCGAGAUCUUUGUUCCAACUCUCCAAGAUUAGCAGAGGUAAAAGCUCCAGAUUCCCGCCAAUUUUGCUCCUCUCUUUGGAUAUCAUCCACUCUAUGCCUUCUCUUAUAACGUUGGUAAAAUUCCCACAAGUGUUCAAUGUCAUGACUGC
This 661-nucleotide unclassified non-coding RNA is filed under the name Hevea brasiliensis (rubber tree). Lineage: Eukaryota; Viridiplantae; Streptophyta; Magnoliopsida; Malpighiales; Euphorbiaceae. The record is from RNAcentral.